CAGUCGCCGCGGGAAUACGGAGGGAGCUAGCGUUAUUCGGAAUUACUGGGCGUAAAGCGCACGUAGGCGGCUUUGUAAGUUAGAGGUGAAAGCCUGGAGCUCAACUCCAGAAUUGCCUUUAAGACUGCAUCGCUUGAAUCCAGGAGAGGUGAGUGGAAUUCCGAGUGUAGAGGUGAAAUUCGUAGAUAUUCGGAAGAACACCAGUGGCGAAGGCGGCUCACUGGACUGGUAUUGACGCUGAGGUGCGAAAGCGUGGGGAGCGAACAGGAUUAGAUACCCCGGUAGUCCCUGUCUCUUAUAC
This 301-nucleotide ribosomal RNA is filed under the name uncultured bacterium. RNAcentral's name for it is "partial 16S ribosomal RNA". It matches the Rfam family "Bacterial small subunit ribosomal RNA", at positions 509 to 807 of the family's 1533-position model. The record is from RNAcentral.